CCCUCUACAACCGCGCAGAAAAGGUUAAAAAAUACAUUUGUAUUACCUUUAUGGCGAGUCUUAGAUUAUA
This 70-nucleotide small RNA is filed under the name bovine gut metagenome. The record is from RNAcentral.